CUGUCUCUUUUUUAAUAAUUUGAAUUUACUUUGUAAGUGAGAAAGCUUACUGUUUGAAGAGGGAGGAGAAGACCCUUAGAAUUUUGCUUAAGUGUUUAAUCAUACUGGUUUUGUUGGGGUGACAAAGAAAUAUAUUAAAACUUUCUUUAAAAUACUUGCCGAUUAUAUUAAGUAAGAAUAAAUUACCUGAGGGAUAACAGCAUAAUUCUAUAUUUGAGUUUGUGACCUCGAUGUUGGACUAGGAAACUAGUAAGCUAGCCGUUUGCUUUGUGGGUUCUGUUCGAACUUAAUUCCU
RNAcentral lists this ribosomal RNA (295 nucleotides) under Doto floridicola. Its description in RNAcentral is "partial 16S ribosomal RNA". The record is from RNAcentral. Lineage: Eukaryota; Metazoa; Mollusca; Gastropoda; Nudibranchia; Dotidae.